Molecule: ribosomal RNA, 273 nt
Filed under: uncultured Staphylococcus sp.
Lineage: Bacteria; Bacillati; Bacillota; Bacilli; Caryophanales; Staphylococcaceae
Description: partial 16S ribosomal RNA
Rfam family: Bacterial small subunit ribosomal RNA
Source: RNAcentral
ACGUUAGCGGCGGACGGGUGAGUAACACGUGGGUAACCUACCUAUAAGACUGGGAUAACUCCGGGAAACCGGGGCUAAUACCGGAUAAUACAUGAAACCGCAUGGUUUCAUGAUGAAAGACGGUUUUGCUGUCACUUAUAGAUGGACCCGCGGCGUAUUAGCUAGUUGGUAAGGUAACGGCUUACCAAGGCAACGAUACGUAGCCGACCUGAGAGGGUGAUCGGCCACACUGGAACUGAGACACGGUCCAGACUCCUACGGGAGGCAGCAGCG